Long non-coding RNA from Drosophila mojavensis, 538 nucleotides. RefSeq lists it as uncharacterized. The record is from RefSeq and is a predicted model, not a curated record. Lineage: Eukaryota; Metazoa; Arthropoda; Insecta; Diptera; Drosophilidae. The transcript is spliced from 3 exons.
UAGUGUCGAUACACAUAAAAAUAUAUCUACGUUUCAGACUAAUCUGACCACGCCUUCCCUAGCCGCCCAUAUGAGAUUGGUUUCCUCUUAUUGAUACUUGUACGUCAAAUUCUUUCAGCUCAUCAUAGAUCCAACUCGAAACGGCAGAUGCACUACGAUUGUUUUGCAUGUAGAUCUCAAGCAACUGCUCAUAAGUGAACUCAACUACAGCUACAAUAUUAGGGAUUUUACACAACGGAGCAAAAAGGAGCAAAAGAGCUUUUAUGGAUUAGUUUAUAUACACCUUCCACUAUAAUAACACAAAAUUACUUUUGGCACAACUUGGCACAAAAUUACAGACGGACUAGCAGAUUUUGUAAUUAUAAAACCAGUAGAAGAACCAUUAUCCAAUAGCGAAAACUAUGUUGAAGAAAUACCUUCUGAUGAUGCUAUUGGUCCCCCAAAACGCCCACGUGCAAAGAUAUUUGAAGACAGUGAAACAGAUUAUUUACCAAAUGCAGUUUGAAGAAUAACAAUAAAGUUUUUAAUAAACCUUUAA